Molecule: long non-coding RNA, 2411 nt
Filed under: Homo sapiens (human)
Lineage: Eukaryota; Metazoa; Chordata; Mammalia; Primates; Hominidae
Description: HSALNT0310030
Source: RNAcentral
AGGGCUCUAAUGCUCUGGAGGACACAUCCUUAUUCUCCAAGAUCUCUAUCAAGUCAUUUAGGAGGGAAAGACUGGCGGAAAGAGAAAUACACAAACCUCAGAAGGGAGCAGACAAUUCACACAUUUCUACAGUUUAACCUUCAGUGCCAAAUCUCACUCUGUAGCCCAGGCUGGAAUGCAGUGGUGCGAUCUCAGCUCACCGCAACCUCCGCCUCCGGAGUUCAAGCAAUUCUCCUGCCUCAGCCUCUGAGUAGCUGGGACUACAGGCACACACCACCAUGCCCAGAGAGAAACAGAAGUGGCUGGUUAUGAAAACCGGCAGCACAGCUUUUUCCCUCCCUGUGGUGUCUUCCCAGAUAAGAAAGCAGGCCUGAAUCCCGGGUGCUGUUCUUCCAGACCACAUGAAAGGUACUGUCUCAGGCUCCUCAUCUGGAACUUUUAUGCUUUACAAAGAUGAUAAUAGUCCCUCAAAAUCACCUACAAUGCUGAAUUAAAUAGCAUUCAAAGUAUACUAGGAGAAAAUUACAGUCAAGUUUGAGUCAACAGAUCUCUUAACCUGGUAACUUUUAGGAAACCACUUAAUUUCUGCAACUCAGUCAUCUUCCCUAUAAAAUGGGAAUAAUAAAACCUAUCUUGACUACUCUAAAGACUAGUAUUGAGAAGCAAAUGAGGUAAGAGACAUGAGAAAGAUUUAGAAAUUAUAAAAUUCAACAUAAAUACAAAUUAAUGAGGUACAUCUAUUAUGUCACCUGAUCUUUAUAACGUGACAAUUGUCCAAAUCAAAAUGGAGUCACUAAAGUUUUUUUUUGUUUGCUUGUUUGCUUGUUUGUUUUUAAAAAAACCCUGAUAAAUAGAGCCACAGAAGUCCAUGAAGAGAGGAUUCUCAUAUUCGUAUACCUGACAAGAAACACUAUCACAAUGACUGCAAAAAACACAACCUUGUACAAAGACCAUUACAAACUUACACAAAAGAAUACCUUUGCAAGGACAUCUGCCCAGCAAUUGCCUGUCCAAUCUCAGACUGGUGUCACUCUUGUUAUUUAUCUUUGUAACCAAGGAUAAUUAUUUCAAAACAAUUAUGUAAUUCUCCUCAUUUUUUCCUUUAAAAACCAUUUCUUUCUUUUACCUCCCUGAGUACUCAUAUGGGCACAGCAGUCUCAUUGCAGUGUAUUCUCAUGCACUAUUCCCAAAUAAAUAUUUUUUUCUUUUAGAAAGCCUCUCUCUGUUUGUUAUUUAGGCUGACAAUAACAACCCCAGGAAAUGGGUAAGUUAUUAUCCCUAUUUAUUGAUGGGUUGCGGGGGAGAAACAGAAAAGGAUCAGGCUAUUUGCUUAAAGUCCCUCAGCAAGUUGGCUCCCAAGGCAAGUCCAGUGCCCUUGCAUCCCAUCACCUCCUAGACCCUCCACCAGUGCUGCUUAUUCUCUCUGCUGUUUUCCCAGAAUCAUUCACUGCCCUUCUCCACAUCACAGGAGCUCCUGUCUCCUCUGACUUCAGGUUGGACUGGCUAAUAGAAAGACCAAAAGGUGGCAGGAGAGCAGAGUUGAGCAUUCGUUCCCUGGCUCUCCCCCUGCCUCAGCACUGUGGCUCUGACAAUGACUGGAUCCCUCUACAACUUCGACUCUUAUCUAGAGCCUCCUUCCACAGUGAUUCUGCAUAUCUGUUACAUUCUAAGGCCACUUCACAACACUACCAAACCCAGCUUUACAGUUUGGAAGACUGAGAGAAUCAUACCCAAAGCCACAAACAUCCAAAUAUGGUGUUCUUCACAAGAAACUAAUAAUGAACUUGAGACAGAGUCUGCAGGGAUAGAUGAUGACUUGGGAUUCGGUGCUUACAGGAGACUGGCUCUUCACAUUCUUUGCAUCCACAGUUCCAAGGAGGCUUUAGAGCUCAAUACUUUCCAGCCAGUGACAUUUCUAAAUGCAUUUUCCAAAUGAAGUCAAUGCCCUCAGGCAGCCCAGUGGGGAGGUCAUGGAGAGCCAGUGAGAAGGAAGUCUGCAGGGAGCUCAUGCCAAAAUAUUUGCUGGAUGGCACUAAUGACCACCACCACAACAGACUGCGUAGGAGAAAACACUGAGAAAUUGAAAUGGGAGAAUUCCCUGACACCCCUUGCUGAACGUGAGACAGGGAUGUGACUCAUCUGUUCAGUAACCACUGCUCCUCAAACCCCUUAUGUGAGGGGAGCAUGCAGACAGGAGGAGGAAAAGAAGGCCCUUGGAAAUUGCCAUUCUGGAAUUGAAAACUUAAAUCCUCCAGACAACCAUUAACUUUUAAAGGACAUCUAAAAGUGCAGCUCUGUGAUAACCAAGAAGAUGAUGGUGAUAGUUCUGCCUAUGACUGAAUACACAAAUCUCUUAAACCUCUACAGCUGCUCAACAAAACAAAGAAAUAAACAUUGCAUUUUGCAGAGAA